GACAUCGGACGCUAUGGCACACUCGUGCCUUCUGUGCCACCGAAGCCCCGAAGUGCCCAGGCAUAUACCUUCACAUGUUUCCCUUCAGUAGGAAAUUGCUGGACAGGCGGACCAGCGCACCGGAAUUGUACUGGCGAAGCCACAAGCAACUCAAAGAAUCUGUGUAAUUGUCGCACUUUGAACAAUCAUGCUUCUACAAAGGCCACAGCAGAAAAACAGUCUGAUGCCGAGUAUUUCUGUGCCACGAAGUAAUCAAGAGGCGAGUGCCUAAUGCGGACGAAAUCGAGUGCAUCGAGACUUAGAACGACAGAAAGCUGAGCUAGUUGAUAUGCAAUGGCAAGCCCUUCCGUGUGUUCCAAAGCCACAGCAGCUCCCUCAUACAGACUCCGCAAGCCAAGAGGCCGUGGAGGCAAAUGCAGACAGCCAGCACACCUCGAACAGCCACCUUGACUGCGGGUGUGUCACCCUAGUCGCCAAGGAAACAUUUGAGGGAAAGCGACAGGCAAUGUGAACAGCCACUUCUCCAUGUAAACGAUACUCUUUCUCUCGGAUGACUCCUACGUUCGCCACGCCAGCACACUUGUGCACAAAGAUGCCGCGGAGGCACGUGCAGGUCAGAGGCCAGAAGUAGUGGCACUGGUGUCGACAUUCGCCCAAUUUCUUUUUCUUACACUGAGGCAGCCAGCACACCUCGAACAGCCACCUUGACUGUGAGUGUGUCAGUAGAUUCCUGUUGUACAUAUGCUCAUAAUAAACUUCAGUAAAUUUGAAC
Long non-coding RNA from Dermacentor andersoni, 772 nucleotides. RefSeq lists it as uncharacterized. The record is from RefSeq and is a predicted model, not a curated record. NCBI's taxonomy places the organism in Eukaryota, Metazoa, Arthropoda, Arachnida, Ixodida, Ixodidae.